RNAcentral lists this ribosomal RNA (253 nucleotides) under uncultured bacterium. RNAcentral's name for it is "partial 16S ribosomal RNA". It matches the Rfam family "Bacterial small subunit ribosomal RNA", at positions 524 to 776 of the family's 1533-position model. The record is from RNAcentral.
UACGAAGGGUGCAAGCGUUACUCGGAAUUACUGGGCGUAAAGCGUGCGUAGGUGGUGAGUUAAGUCUGUCGUGAAAGCCCCGGGCUCAACCUGGGAAUGGCGAUGGAUACUGGCUCGCUAGAGUGCGGUAGAGGAGAGUGGAAUUCCCGGUGUAGCAGUGAAAUGCGUAGAGAUCGGGAGGAACAUCAGAUGCGAAGGCGGCUCUCUGGACCAGAACUGACACUGAGGCACGAAAGCGUGGGGAGCAAACAGG